Molecule: ribosomal RNA, 492 nt
Filed under: uncultured bacterium
Lineage: Bacteria
Description: partial 16S ribosomal RNA
Rfam family: Bacterial small subunit ribosomal RNA
Source: RNAcentral
AGUGAACGCUGGCGGUAGGCCUAACACAUGCAAGUCGAACGGCAGCACAGUAAGAGCUUGCUCUUACGGGUGGCGAGUGGCGGACGGGUGAGGAAUACAUCGGAAUCUACUUUUUCGUGGGGGAUAACGUAGGGAAACUUACGCUAGUACCGCAUACGACCUACGGGUGAAAGCAGGGGAUCUUCGGACCUUGCGCGAUUGAAUGAGCCGAUGUCGGAUUAGCUAGUUGGCGGGGUAAAGGCCCACCAAGGCGACGAUCCGUAGCUGGUCUGAGAGGAUGAUCAGCCACACUGGAACUGAGGCACGGUCCAGACUCCUACGGGAGGCAGCAGUGGGGAAUAUUGGACAAUGGGCGCAAGCCUGAUCCAGCCAUACCGCGUGGGUGAAGAAGGCCUUCGGGUUGUAAAGCCCUUUUGUUGGGAAAGAAAAGCAGCAGGUUAAUACCCCGCUGUUCUGACGGUACCCAAAGAAUAAGCACCGGCUAACUUCGUG